Mauremys reevesii (Reeves's turtle) is the source of this 680-nucleotide long non-coding RNA. RefSeq lists it as uncharacterized. Lineage: Eukaryota; Metazoa; Chordata; Testudines; Geoemydidae. The transcript is spliced from 2 exons. The record is from RefSeq and is a predicted model, not a curated record.
UGGAAAGAAGAGAGAAAGGGAGCUGUGGGGAUGAAAUAUGAACAAGAACAAAUUUGGUGAUUUGGGAUUUUUUCAGCUUUUUGUUAAAAAGAGAGGAAAAUCUGGGGAAGAAAAACAAAACAAAAUCUGCAAACGUUCAGUCUGGAGCAAGAGGCCAUUUUCUGCUGGAAAUGCGUGACCAGCUCUUCAGCGACCCACCUCCUGCGCUCCCUGAGGGCAAAUCUAGACCAAAGCAGCGAGGCCAAAUGUUACCUUUAGUAAGAUGUCACCCACUUGAAGCCUCCCGUCGAGAUCAGCGAUACUUCCUGGGCUGAUGGCUUUAAUUAGGAUAGCCCGGCCAUUUCUGCCACCUACCAGUGCAAAUCCCAGGCUCCCGUUGGCUGUUUUCUCCAGCUCAAUCUUAAUGAUGCAGUCCUGCAACACAGAAGGUCUCUGUUCAAAAUGGAGCUAAGUCAGGAGCCAAAUGAACUGACAGUGAUCGUGACUGGAAAUUUCUAAUGUGCCCUUCACCCUACAGGAUACCAAUGGGCUUUACAAUUUUCACUCGAUGAUGGUAUAAAUUAUAGGGCAAAUUCUUCUCUUGCAUAGACACACAAAGGGACUUAAAUGGCAGCUGCACACAAGUACCAAAGAGAUGGUAUGAUAGAUAUUUCCAUUAAAAAUAAACUUAUUAAAAACAA